RNAcentral lists this ribosomal RNA (244 nucleotides) under uncultured bacterium. Its description in RNAcentral is "partial 16S ribosomal RNA". The record is from RNAcentral.
CUGCUGCCUUCCGUAGGAGUCUGGGCCGUGUCUCAGUCCCAAUGUGGCCGUCCGCCCUCUCAGGCCGGCUACUGAUCGUCGCCUUGGUAGGCCGUUACCCUCCCAACCAGCUAAUCAGACGCGGGCCCAUCUUAUACCACCUCAGUUUUUCACACUGCGUCAUGCGCCGCUGUGCGCUUAUGCGGUAUUAGCAGCUGUUUCCAGCUGUUAUCCCCCUGUACUAAGGCAGGUUGCCCACGCGUUA